AACGAACGCUGGCGGCAUGCCUAACACAUGCAAGUCGAACGAGACCUUCGGGUCUAGUGGCGCACGUGUGCGUAACGCGUGGGAAUCUACCCUCAGGUUCCGAAUACCUCAGAGAAAUUUGAGCUCAUACCGGAUGAUGUCGUACGUCCAAAGAUGUAUCGCCUGAGGAUGAGCCCGCGUAGGAUUCGGUAGUUGGUGAGGUACAGGCUCGCCAAGCCGACGAUCCUUAGCUGGUCUGAGAGGAGGCUCAGCUAGGCUGGGACUGCGACACGGCCCAGACUCCUACGGGGCGGAGCAGAGGGGUAUAUUGGGCACGGGGCGAAAGUCUGAUACAGCAAUGCCGGGGGAGUGAUGAAUGGCUUAGGAUUGUAAAGCCGUUUUAGCCGGGAUGAUAAUGACAGUACCGGGAGAAUAAGCACCGGCUAACUACGUG
This 433-nucleotide ribosomal RNA is filed under the name uncultured bacterium. RNAcentral's name for it is "partial 16S ribosomal RNA". It matches the Rfam family "Bacterial small subunit ribosomal RNA", at positions 29 to 507 of the family's 1533-position model. The record is from RNAcentral.